This 527-nucleotide non-coding RNA is filed under the name Ipomoea nil (Japanese morning glory). Its description in RNAcentral is "Eukaryotic small subunit ribosomal RNA". It matches the Rfam family "Eukaryotic small subunit ribosomal RNA", at positions 1 to 526 of the family's 1831-position model. Lineage: Eukaryota; Viridiplantae; Streptophyta; Magnoliopsida; Solanales; Convolvulaceae. The record is from Rfam by way of RNAcentral.
UACCUGGUUGAUCCUGCCAGUAGUCAUAUGCUUGUCUCAAAGAUUAAGCCAUGCAUGUGUAAGUAUGAACUAAUUCAGACUGUGAAACUGCGAAUGGCUCAUUAAAUCAGUUAUAGUUUGUUUGAUGGUACCUACUACUCGGAUAACCGUAGUAAUUCUAGAGCUAAUACGUGCCAACAAACCCGACUUCUGGAAGGGAUGCAUUUAUUAGAUAAAAGGUCGACGCGGGCUCUGCCCGUUGCUGCGAUGAUUCAUGAUAACUCGACGGAUCGCACGGCCUUAGCGCCCGGCGACGCAUCAUUCAAAUUUCUGCCCUAUCAACUUUCGAUGGUAGGAUAGUGGCCUACCAUGUGGUGACGGGUGACGGAGAAUUAGCGUUCGAUUCCGGAGAGGGAGCCUGAGAAACGGCUACCACAUCCAAGGAAGGCAGCAGAGCGCCGCAAAUUACCCAAUCCUGACACGGGAGGUAGUGACAAUAAAUAACAAUACCGGCUCGAUCGAGUCUGUAAUUGGAAUGAGUACAAUCU